RNAcentral lists this ribosomal RNA (1094 nucleotides) under Klebsiella aerogenes. RNAcentral's name for it is "bacterial SSU rRNA". It matches the Rfam family "Bacterial small subunit ribosomal RNA", at positions 38 to 1125 of the family's 1533-position model. The record is from RNAcentral. Lineage: Bacteria; Pseudomonadati; Pseudomonadota; Gammaproteobacteria; Enterobacterales; Enterobacteriaceae.
GGGGGGGGGGGGGCUACACAUGCAGUCGAGCGGCAGCGGAAAGUAGCUUGCUACUGUUGCGCGGCGAGCGGCGGGCGGGUGAGUAGUGUCUGGGAAACUGCCUGAUGGAGGGGGAUAACUACUGGAAACGGUAGCUAAUACCGCAUAACGUCGCAAGACCAAAGAGGGGGACCUUCGGGCCUCUUGCCAUCAGAUGUGCCCAGAUGGUAUUAUCUAGUAGGUGGGGUAGCGGCUCACCUAGGCGACGAUCCCUAGCUGGUCUGAGAGGAUGACCAGCCACACUGGAACUGAGACGCGGUCCAGACUCCUACGGGAGGCAGCAGUGGGGAAUAUUGCACAGUGGGCGCAAGCCUGAUGCAGCCAUGCCGCGUGUAUGAAGAAGGCCUUCGGGUUGUAGAGUACUUUCAGCGGAGAGGAAGGUGUUGAGGUUAAUAACCUCAGCAAUUGACGUUACCCGCAGAAGAAGCACCGUCUAUCUCCGUGCCAGCAGCCGCGAUAAUACGGAGGGUGCAAGCGUUAAUCGGAAUUACUGCGCGUAGAGCGCACGCAGGCGGUCUGUCAAGUCGUAUGUGAAAUCCCCGGUCUCAACCUGAGAACUGCAUUCGAAACUGACAGUCUAGAGUCUUGUAGAGGGGAUAAAAUUCCAUGUGUAGCGGUGAAAUGCAUAAUAUCUGGAAGAAUACCGGUGGCGAACGCGCCCCCCUGGAAAACACUGACGCUCAGGUGCGAAAGCGUGGAGAACAAACAAUAUUAUAUACCCUGAUACUCCACGCCGUAAACUAUGUCAACUUAGAGGUUGUCCUCUUGAGGCGUGUCUUCCGAAACUAACGCGUUAACUCCACCCCCCUGUAGAAUACGCGCACCAGUUUAAAUCUCAAUAAAUUCACGGGGCCCCGCACACAGCGUGGAACAUUGUGUUUAAUUCGAUGCCACGCAAAGAACCUUACCUACUCGUUACAUCCAGAAAACUUCACAGAGAUGUAUUGGUGGCUUCGAGAACUCUGAAAACAUUUCUGCAUGCUUUCCCCACCUCCUCUCCGAAAUGUAGUUUAACUCCCCAACAACCCCAACCUUAAUCCUCUUUUCCCACCCCA